RNAcentral lists this long non-coding RNA (307 nucleotides) under Lathyrus oleraceus (garden pea). RNAcentral's name for it is "Pisum sativum (pea) long non-coding RNA (PSAT_LNC000498)". The record is from RNAcentral. Lineage: Eukaryota; Viridiplantae; Streptophyta; Magnoliopsida; Fabales; Fabaceae.
UCAAUUAAUGCAAACAUAAAUAUUUAACUAAUUGACUUUUCAACUUUAUUACACCAUUUUGUUGUUAUUAUUUUUUAGAAAGAAAAAGAGAAAAUAAAAAAUAGAAAGAAAUAAUAGUGAACUUUAUCUCAUGUUACCAUCACAAAACAACUUCGCCCUCAUGAAAAAGAAAAUUACUCAGACCCUUAAAUCCACCAUAUUAUCUCCCUAUUCAAAGCUAGUCAACAAAGAUCCACUUAAAAUAAAAUAUCCUUCAUAUUUAAUGAGAAGAUCACAACUCAAAACAAUCAAAAUUUUCAUAAUCAUG